UACGUAGGAGACAAGCGUUGUCCGGAAUUACUGGGUGUAAAGCGCGUGUAGGUGGUAGGCCAAGUCUGCUGUGAAAUCGCCCGGCUUAACUGGGCGCGGUCGGUGGAAACUGGUCAACUGGAGGACGGUAGAGGCGAGUGGAAUUCCCGGUGUAGUGGUGAAAUGCGUAGAGAUCGGGAGGAACACCAGUGGCGAAGGCGGCUCGCUGGGCCGGUCCUGACACUGAGACGCGAAGGCGUGGGGAGCAAACAGG
RNAcentral lists this ribosomal RNA (253 nucleotides) under uncultured bacterium. RNAcentral's name for it is "partial 16S ribosomal RNA". It matches the Rfam family "Bacterial small subunit ribosomal RNA", at positions 524 to 776 of the family's 1533-position model. The record is from RNAcentral.